UACAGAGGUCUCGAGCGUUGUUCGGAUUCAUUGGGCGUAAAGGGUGCGUAGGUGGCGCCGUAAGUCGGGUGUGAAAUUUCGGAGCUUAACUCCGAAACUGCAUUCGAUACUGCGGUGCUUGAGGACUGGAGAGGAGACUGGAAUUCAUGGUGUAGCAGUGAAAUGCGUAGAGAUCGGGAGGAACAUCAGUGGCGAAGGCGGCGACCUGGAUCAGAACUGACACUGAGGCACGAAAGCGUGGGGAGCAAACAGG
RNAcentral lists this ribosomal RNA (253 nucleotides) under uncultured prokaryote. RNAcentral describes it as "partial 16S ribosomal RNA". It matches the Rfam family "Bacterial small subunit ribosomal RNA", at positions 524 to 776 of the family's 1533-position model. The record is from RNAcentral.